AGAGUUUGAUCCUGGCUCAGAGCGAACGCUGGCGGCGUACUUAACACAUGCAAGUCGAACGGGGAUCAUCGUGUGAGCAAUCACAUGAUGGUUCUAGUGGCGCACGGGUGAGUAACACGUGGGUAACCUGCCCUGGAGCCCGGGAUACCCUCUCGAAAGGGAGGCUAAUACCGGAUACGUUCCCCCGAUCGCUAGGUUGGGGGAGGAAAGGUGGCGAAAGCUGCCGCUCUUGGAGGGGCUCGCGGCCUAUCAGCUAGUUGGUGAGGUGACGGCUCACCAAGGCGAUGACGGGUAGCUGGUCUGAGAGGACGACCAGCCACACGGGGACUGAGACACGGCCCCGACUCCUACGGGAGGCAGCAGUGGGGAAUUUUCCGCAAUGGGCGAAAGCCUGACGGAGUGACGCCGCGUGGGGGACGAAGGCCUUCGGGUCGUAAACCCCUGUCAGAGGGAAAGAAGGAUGUCGGCGCGAUAACCGCCGGCAUUUGACGGUACCUUCAGAGGAAGCCCCGGCCAACUCUGUGCCAGCAGCCGCGGUAAGACAGAGGGGGCAAGCGUUGCUCGGAAUCACUGGGCGUAAAGGGCGCGUAGGCGGGAGGGCAAGUCAGUCGUGAAAUCCUUCGGCUCAACCGAAGAACGUCGGCUGAUACUGCUCUUCUUGAGGGAUGCAGAGGAGACUGGAAUUCCCGGUGUAGCGGUGAAAUGUGUAGAGAUCGGGAGGAACACCGGUGGCGAAGGCGGGUCUCUGGGCAUCUCCUGACGCUGAGGCGCGAAAGUGUGGGGAGCAAACGGGAUUAGAUACCCCGGUAGUCCACGCUGUAAACGAUGACAACUAGGUGU
This 840-nucleotide ribosomal RNA is filed under the name uncultured bacterium. RNAcentral's name for it is "bacterial SSU rRNA". It matches the Rfam family "Bacterial small subunit ribosomal RNA", at positions 8 to 823 of the family's 1533-position model. The record is from RNAcentral.